RNAcentral lists this non-coding RNA (191 nucleotides) under Moraxella cuniculi. RNAcentral's name for it is "6S RNA". It matches the Rfam family "6S / SsrS RNA". Rfam says of the family: E. coli 6S RNA was the first non coding RNA to be sequenced, but its function was unknown until recently. The record is from RNAcentral. Lineage: Bacteria; Pseudomonadati; Pseudomonadota; Gammaproteobacteria; Moraxellales; Moraxellaceae. RNAcentral also lists the same sequence under 1 other name.
ACAACACUGGAGUACUCGCCAGCAAAGCGUAUUUCCUGAGCCGAUAAUCUUAUCUUAGGAUUUGGGUUACAUACUUUGUUGAGCAGGCCUGCAUCGUCCGAUGAAUCAGGAAGCCGUAAUAAGUAUGACUCUUAUCCGCCCUGAACUUCACGGUUCAUGGUUCCCCUUUGUAGCGGUACUUUGGUAUUUUU